CACCUUCCACCCACAGGGAGCACCCUGGCACGGAGAACCGGUGUCUUCGUUUCCUACUGGUCUUUUCUAUCGUUCCAGUUACUCAGGCACAAGAAACGGAAAGCUCAGAUGGAAUUGCCAAGGUGUCAGAAUAGCCAAAAUGAUCUUGAAAAAGAUAAAGUUGGAGGACUCAAACUUCUCAAUUUCAAAGCUUACUACAAAGCUACAGUGAUCAAGAUAGUAUGGUACUAUCUAGAUAUGUAGAUCAAUGGAUUAGAAUUGAAAGACCAGAAAUAAACCUAUAGAUCUAUGUUCAA
Molecule: long non-coding RNA, 296 nt
Organism: Leopardus geoffroyi (Geoffroy's cat)
Lineage: Eukaryota; Metazoa; Chordata; Mammalia; Carnivora; Felidae
Exons: 2
Source: RefSeq, a predicted model, not a curated record